Long non-coding RNA from Sinocyclocheilus rhinocerous, 1169 nucleotides. RefSeq lists it as uncharacterized. The transcript has 3 exons. The record is from RefSeq and is a predicted model, not a curated record. Lineage: Eukaryota; Metazoa; Chordata; Actinopteri; Cypriniformes; Cyprinidae.
UUUCUCAAAUAUUAGGCCUAUGUCUGGAUAAUCAAGUAAAGCUAAGUUGCUUCAGUCCAGUAAAUUGUUUUUGUGGAAAAAUGGGGAGUCAAAAAGGCUGAGAACCACUGUAAAACGGGUUUUCUUUCUUGUGAUUACUUUCUACUACACUACAGAAAAAAACACUGCUGUUGAGGGCGUGUUGCCCCCUUGUGUCGGAAUAAUGUCACCAAACUGGUGAAAAGUUGUGUUAUUCUGCCAUCUACCGGUAGAAAACCAAACAGCUCAUUUCCCGAACACAACCGUGAAAGUAUAAGUGCACUGCCAGCUGCAAAGAAACACAAGAUAAUGAGUUGAUCCAGCAUUCUUAUGACCGAGGUGAAGCAGAGACAGAGCUCGGAUCAAUCAGGACGACGUCUUGGCUAAACCCCCGCCGUGCCUCCCCAGCCUGCCCACAGCCAAUCAAUAUAACUGCAGUUGGAGAUCCAGGUGAUCUUUGUCACCUCUGGAAGUGGAUGAGGACAUCAUCUCACAUGGACAUAACGGCUUAGUGGAGAUCAAAGCGGCGAACGGGAACUGAGGGAUCUGGAUGUGUUUUGUUCCGACAGGAUAAUCCGGGCUUCUCGCUGGGACGCUAAAACUGAGCUUCUUCGCUGCGGUACAUCAUCAUCCUCCCAACGCAACAAACCUGUCUUAAAUGUCACCUUUAUUCUUUGUUUCUAGUUGCUUCUUUUGCCAGAGAUGAUCUGAUGGCCUUUAUUUCCAGCGGGUGAAAUAGACCUCUGGUGGAUUGGUGAGGAGAUUGAGUCUAAUUGUUUCUAUCAGUCUUUCUUCGUUGGCGGGUUUCAGGCUCUGGCUGCGUCCCAGAUGUCAUUUUAGUAUCUGCUCGCUUUGAGAGCGUUCACUCAAAAGCUGAAAGUGGAGUAUCAUUCUUUCUGCUCUGAAGUGUAACUUUUUAUUCUAAUGAAAUAGUAUUUAUGUGAGUCGCUUUAAAAGCAACAAAUUGUUGACCCAGUACUUGUCGGAAAGCACGACUCCUUUUUAUGAUCUCUGGCUCAGGACGUUGUUCCUUUCUCCUACUGGCCGGGUUUUAUGCAUUCGAAUGCUGUCAGUAGUUCUACUCGAGCCUGAUAUAGCAGUGCGCCACCUGCUGUUCUCAUCCAGAACUGCAGGCGUAUCCAUAGACUUGU